RNAcentral lists this long non-coding RNA (16047 nucleotides) under Homo sapiens (human). RNAcentral's name for it is "non-protein coding lnc-DLK1-35:68". The stretch from base 7398 to 7480 matches the Rfam family "mir-770 microRNA precursor family". The record is from RNAcentral. Lineage: Eukaryota; Metazoa; Chordata; Mammalia; Primates; Hominidae.
GGCCUUUGUUCUCCUGAUGGAGGGGGUCGGGCGCGGGAUCUACUGGAGGAUCCUGGAUUCGUUUACCCAAGAGGGAACAGUUUUGAGACCCCCCGGAUUCACUGCGGAGUGGCCGCAGAGGCCGGGGUCGGCCUUUGCGCCGUGGCUUCGGGUGUUGUGGAGGCGCACAGAGGCACGUUAGUUGAUUUCCAGUGGUUUUUGGUUUCGGGGGUCUUAGGAAGGUGUGGCUCAUUUGAGCAGGAUGGAGAGAGAGGCUGUGACAAGGGUCUCUCCUCAGGGAUGACAUCAUCCGUCCACCUCCUUGUCUUCAAGGACCACCUCCUCUCCAUGCUGAGCUGCUGCCAAGGGGCCUGCUGCCCAUCUACACCUCACGAGGGCACUAGGAGCACGGUUUCCUGGAUCCCACCAACAUACAAAGCAGCCACUCACUGACCCCCAGGACCAGGAUGGCAAAGGAUGAAGAGGACCGGAACUGACCAGCCAGCUGUCCCUCUUACCUAAAGACUUAAACCAAUGCCCUACAGGUUCCCAGUGCCCCCGACAAGCCCCUGCUGGUGUCUCCAUCUCCUGCCAAGCAUCCUCCAGUGCCUCCUCCUGUGGGCCUGGCCUCAGGGCUAUGGACAGACUCCUGUCCCAUCCCAGAGACCCCUCGUGAUCGUGCCCUGGCACGUGGGCCGUGGCCCGGCUGGGUCGGCUGAAGAACUGCGGAUGGAAGCUGCGGAAGAGGCCCUGAUGGGGCCCACCAUCCCGGACCCAAGUCUUCUUCCUGGCGGGCCUCUCGUCUCCUUCCUGGUUUGGGCGGAAGCCAUCACCUGGAUGCCUACGUGGGAAGGGACCUCGAAUGUGGGACCCCAGCCCCUCUCCAGCUCGAAAUCGGCAGACUAGGAUGGAAGUGCCCUGUGAGCUGGGGGGCCCUUCAAAGGGCCAAGGAGAAAACGCAGGCCGAGGGACCAGCCUUCCAAAUGGGCUUCAAGCUCCAAUGACCUCCGCUCGCCCCCUCGAAAUGUCUGGAAAACAUAAUGGGCAGAUUUUCUGUCUUCAAAGUUUCCGGCUAAACCUCUUCAAGUUCUUUAUUGUUUGGGACUGAGACACUCAGCCAUGUUAAUGGGUAGUUUCUUUUGUAUUUGCCUUGAAAGGCCAAAAUAUUUUUAUAUUGCCACAGACAAAGCCACCUAUUUAAAAAUGAACUCCAUGUCCGUCGUUUCCCACCAGGAGACUAUGUACCAUGUGUGUGUCUCUAUGUAUUCUGGGGUCUUGAAACAGGUUUCUCAUGGGGAUGGUCAUUCACCACGGUCCAGAGGGGCAGAACAGGCGGCGCUUGCCUUGCCCAGGGGGCCUGGGGAACGUGGGCCCUCAUCUCAGAUCUGCCCCCAGUAUGUUUAGGACGCGAGCCCCAGAAGGAUCUGGGAGUAAACUUAACAUUCACUGUGUCUCUGCUCUGCAUCCGCCAUUUGUGUGUGUUUCUGGACUGUGGGCUGUGUGUACCUUGGUUGGUGACUCAGUGAGAAGAAGCAGGAAUGCCAAAGAUACUGUGAAUGUUCUGAGUUUUGUUGCUGUUGUUGUUGAGAGGUUGUUUCACUGGUAUCUAUUGCAUUGUAUAAUAAAUGACCAGAUGAAUGAAUGAGUGAAGCAAGAGAGAAUGAAUAAACAAGUAAAUAGGUAAAGAAGUAAGCAAGCCAGGAUGAGAGUGUGUGUACACAAGACCAUGGUUCAUCCGCUUUGAUGGCUAGGCAAUCAAUAUAUAAAUAGAAAAAAACCAGUGAAUCACUAAGUAAUAGGGCAACACACAAAGCGAUAUCAGGUGAUUAUGGACUAAGGGGUAUGUGUAACUCAAAUAUAUGCCUCUGACAUUUGACAAUGAAAAAGAACCUAAAUGAAAGAAAGAAUGGAUGUAUGAGUAGUGAAGUGCAGAAUGAGACAUAGAUUUUGAGGCCCGUCAAAAUGAAAAGAUGCAAGUUAGGGAACAAGUGAUCAAAAGGGAGAAGGGAAAGGUUUUUUUUAAAAAACCAAAACAACAAAGAAAGGUUAAAAAAAAAAACAGACUAGAGGAUGAGUAAUGAGUAACUCUGUAAGGAGGACCAUGUCAGACUAUUGUAAGCUAAGCAUUAGGACUGAUACAAAUAAUAUAUGCUCCUGGCAUAGAAAAAUAAACCACAGAGAACGAGUUCAAAGAAUAGCAAAGAAAGAAAGAGGACCCAGUGGGCGAAAGAUGAGAGUGUACUUUUACCAAAAGUUAUCUAAGCCUGAGCACUUGAAGUCUGCACAUAAAUAAAUAAAUGACAAAAGAAAGAAAAAAAGGCCAAAAAGUCUACAUUGCGUGUGUGGAUGGAUGAAUGAGCAGUGGGAGUGCAGCGCCAGGUGACAAGAUGUUGUGAGGGGUUUUGAGUCAUCCAGUCCUGGGCACUGAGGUCUGUUAGAUGAAAGGAUAUGAGAAAGGUAAUAUUGGUAAAUAAAGAAAUAGGAAACAAUGUAACAAAUGUUAAGUACAGAAAUACAUUAAUGGGUGGUAAAUAAAGAUGUAAAAGAAGGCAAUGCGAUCGAUGGUGGCAAAAGAUCAUCACAGAUUAAGGGCUAUGGCUGGUCCACUUCUAGAAAACCACAGGCUGUCCAUUAAAUAAUGAACAUCUAAGUGAACAAGUCAGUGAGUACCUAAAUAGACAAGGAUGAGGUGAAUGAGAAGACAUGGCCCCAUGGGUCCUCCUGAUGAGGGUGUUGGGGUCCCCCCUGGGCACCCCAGCUGCAUGAAAAUGAAGGACAGGAGGUAUGGAAAGCUAUGACAGAAGAGAGAAAGGAACGGUAAAAAGAAAUAACAACCAAAUGGAUAAAUGGGUAGAUCCACGAGAAGAGUUAGGCUAGGACUUGUCAUAAGGGCACCUGACUCCACUAAUAGAGGAAUAAAUGCCUAAUAAAAAGAGAGCAAGCAGGAAGGAAGGAUGCUAUGAAUGCAGGAAGGAAGUAAUGAGUGAGACGUGGAACCGCACGGCCAAGGAUGGACGUUUGCGGGUGGCUUUUUGAUGCGUACAGCCAAGCCACUCCAUGGCAAUGAGCUCCGAAGACAAAGUGCAAGAGAGAAUGAGUGAGAGAGUGAGAGAGAGAGAAACAAUAAAAAAUGGGAAGAAAUGUAAAAAGGAAGAAAGGAAGAGAGGUAAUAUAUUAAGGAAUAAAUACAUGCAUGCAGAUUUAAGACAGAGCCAUGCUAGAACAGGAAUGAAAGGCUGUGUGAACCAAGCAGACCGCUUAAUUGGCACCAGUGCUGCUGGUAUGGUCAAUCACCUACUCAACUAAGGAACGGCUCAAAGCAUACACAUGGGAGGGAGGAGUGGGGCCACAGAGAGAGGGCCCAUUAGUUGCAGAUUACGAUGUAUCCAGUUAGGUGCACCUGCCUUCGAGAAGUGUAAAAAUAAGUAUUUACAUAGAAAGAAAGACUGAAUGGAUGCACGGUGAAUGCAUGAAUGAUUGAACGACAGAAAAGAUUUGCAUUGACCGAUGAGGAGGGCAUUGUAGACAGGGAUGAGGGUCAUUGAUCCUGGGUGCAGAUCUCCAAAAGAAUGACAGAAAGAAAGAGGGAGUGGUGGAAAGAAACAAUAGGAUGGGAAAAAAUGAAAAUAGAAAAAAGGAAGUGAAAGAGAUAAUAAAUAAUUAGAUCAAAUAAGUUGAUGAAAGGGGACUGGUUUAGCACAAGCCAUCCACAUUAAUUCAAACCUGUGGCUCUGAAGUUUGUUUUUUAAAUGACCACAAGUGUAAGACUGAAUGAAAGAAUAAAUGCGUGCAUUCCAUAGGAUGCAAGAAAAGGAGUGAGGAAUGGGAAAAUUGGAAGAACGAGAGAGGGAGAGAUGUAAGAAAAGAAAGGAAAAGUGAAGUAGGCAUAUGAAAGAAAAGGCACUUCUUGGACAAGCACUGAAAUAUAAUGAGACAGUUUUACCCAUUAAAUAUAAUAAACAGUAAACGUUGAGGUUCAUCAAUAAAAGCACAGAUACCUGAAUAGAGGAGUGACCUGAAUAGAAUUCGUUCAGCCGAACGAAUGAGAAUGGAUGAUUUUCACUAUCCUGUGCACUCAAGGCCCAAAAGAGAAAGCAAGAGAGGAGAGAAUAUGGAAACGUAUGACAGGAUGUAUAUAAGCAAUACAAACAUAUUGAAUGAAUAAAUAAAGACAUAAAUAUGUGGGAGAGUGGACCACGCAAGGACAAAAAGAGGAGAGAAGGCAGCAAGAAUUAUGACUAAUUCAAAACUGGGUUCCUGAGAUAGUUAAAUAAAUCCUGCACCAAAUCCCCAGGGGGAGAAAUUAACAAACAAAAGACAGCCCCACACGGACCAGUGUGCAGAAGGCUCCAGGAACCGCAGAUUAUGGUUAAUCCAAUUCUGUGCACCUGAGGUCCAUAAAUAAAAGAAUAAGUAUUGAAAUGAAAGAAUGACAGAAAGAAUGAAUGGACACAUGAACGACUGAAUUAGAAAUGGAAAUGCCUGGCACAGCCAGGAAGGAGCUGCCCAUGGGAUUGUCAUUCAUCUCACUCUGGGCACCUGAGGUCCAUAAGCGUGAAAAGAGGCAGGAAGAGAAGUGUCAGGGAGUCAAAGAUAGAGCUAAGGAAAGGCAAAAAUGAAACUAAAUGAAAGCGAAAGGGAAAAUAAAGAAAAACCAAUAAAAAAGAGAACGAAUACGUGGGUGUAUCUGUAAGAGUAGGAUCUGUUAGGAUUAGUCAUAAGACUGUCAGUAAUCCUGAAGAUGGAUGAGAUAAUCCAGGCCCAGGUUCCCAGGGGGAGGGAAAAUGGAGAAAAUAUAAAAAGAUGUGAAAAAGGAAAAAGGAAAGGUAAUAAACAAACAACCAAAGUGAUAAAUGGAUAGUUAAGGGAGGUUGUCUGAACAGGGAUUAUAAUUAGUUUACAUACAUACUCCUUAAACAGAUAAAUACAUUACACCUUUCAAAGAAUAAAUGAAAAAUAGAGAGACAUACCUGGCUCCAAAACAAGGCUGUAUCUUCUGCCACUGUAAUAAAAUAGAUGCAAUUGAGGUUCAUAAAUAAAAGAAUAAAUACUUAAACGUGAAAGGUGACUAAAUGCGGGGAAGAAAGAUUGCAAAUAAAUACAUGGGCCAAAGAUGUUUGGUUUGCCCAUGGAGUUUUAAUUAAAAAAAUUAAUAAGGAAAACAAAUACCCAAAAUAAGGAAGACUGACAAAUGAGUGAGUGGAUGAGAGAGUGAAUGGUGCUUGACGUAGGAGCAGUAGUGCUUUAGGGACCAGCAUGAAGGUGGUGACCGGGAGCCCUGAUUCAUGGGAUUCUGUCCACCUGACUUUAUAAGAACCAAGAAUGGCUGGGAAUGGUGGCUCACGCCUGUAAUCCCAGCACUUUGGGAGGCCGAGGUGGGCGGAUCAUGAGGUCAGGAGUUUGAGACCAGCCAGUUUGAGAUCAGCCUGGCCAACAUGGUGAAAUUCCAUCUCUACUAAAAAAAUACAAAAAUUAUGGGCGUGGUGGCACCUGUCUGUAAUCCUAGCUACUCGGGAGGCUGAGAGAGGAGAAUUGCUUGAACCCGGGAGGUGGAGGUUGUAGUGAGCCAAGAUUGCACCACUGCACUCCAGCCUGGGCUACAGAGCAAGACACUAUCUUAGAUCAAAAAAGAAAAAAAAAAAAAGAAGGAGAAAGAACCAGAGAAACAUAAGGAAGAGUGAGAGGAAGAAAGAAAGAUGCAAUUUGGGAAGAAAUGAAAAAGAAAUGAAUAAAGAAUAAAAUAAUGUAACGGUCAAUAAAUAGGACUUGUGAAUGGAGGCCUUUAGGCCAAAGGCUAUGAUUAAUUUCAAGCUAUGUUACUGAAGUCCAUAAACAAAGGACUCAGAUCUAAAUGGAUGAACGAAUGACUGGAAGAAAGGGUGGUAGGAAGGUAGGAAGAAAGGAAGGAGGGAAAAAGGGAAGAGAGGAAGGAACCUUCUUUCCAGUCCUGUGUUCUAGACAGUGGAAUGAAGUGGUCCCCAGGGAGGGUGGCUGUAGGCAUGUCAUGUGCUUGUCACAUGCACUUGCCCUGGCAGGGAGGAGCUGGCUCAGGAAGACCCUGGUCUUGGGGUGCUGUUGCCCUAUCUUGGCUGUGUGGGCCAUUUCACUGCAUCUGUCUCUUCCUCAGUUUCCCCAUCUGUAAACCUGGAGUGGCACCAGCUGCCUACUAGAGUUGAUCUUAUGUGUCUCUGUUGAUGGUACCCCAUCUAUGGCCUGGAUAGGCAGGAAGGGCUUGGACCCUGAGCCCCGCAGAAGGUUGCAUGAACGAGUGGUGUGAAGCCUGUUGGGUAGCUUGGCCACUCCCGCGGCAUGGGUCACCUGCACAGGAGGUUUUGCCCACCAGGGGGCAGCAGAGGGUCAGGGAGCAAUAGGCCCUGGGUGGAGCAUGGGCCCCGCCUGCUGUGUGCCACCCUGGGUGUGGCACCUACUCACAUCCAGGGGUUGGUGCAGGGAAAGGCCAGAAGGUGGCCAGGCGCACCUGAGAAGGGGGACCCAGAAGCCCCGGGACCCAGGAGCCCUGGGCAAGCCACCAGAAACCUUGUUCUUGCAACUCUCUGCAGUGUGCCCAGGCCACCCUCUGGCCUGGUCUUCCAUGGGGCAGGGCGCCCACCCUUCUCAACUCAGGUUUCCCUGGGCAGCAGGUGCACCUCAGCACCCCUGGGGUUGCAGAAGUGGUCCGGGGACCCUGGCUUCCUUGACAUGCCAUCCCCAGAGCCUGGUUCAAGGCCUCUCUGUCUUCUCGGCUGUUUCACGACGUGUUUUGUAACUUGGCGGGAUUGCGUUUCGCUGUGUCGAGGUUGUCUCUUCUCUGACUCGCCCUCCGGGGGACUGCCGGGGUAAAUCUGGAGAGUUGCUCGUGCUGACAGUCCUCCCCCAGGGCCUCCCCGGUUCUGUUGAGUCUCCUUUCUCUGUAGUGGAGGAAAUGUGUGUAGUUUUGUGUUGUGUGCCUGUGUUUGUCUGUAAAAGCAAGGACCAAAGUCUCCCUUGUUGACCUCUCAAUUCCUAUUUGGGACAUAUAAAAACACUGGAUUCUUAACAAGCGCCCGGAGCAGUAGGAGCACAGCUUGGAUGGACUCAGGACUUGUGGCAGGGAGCACGUGGGAGGCAGGGGAGUGGGGUGGGGCCAGGCCAUCUGGAGUGGGAGGCGUCAUGCUCAGAGUGACUCUGUAGACGCUGGGUGGGAUGGGGAGUGCGGGCGCAGGCAUGGAUGGGGCUGUUAGCUAGUGUGAUGCUUGAGGUCUGAGCUGAUGGCAGCAAAGUGGGGUGCUCAGGAAUCAAAGCUAUGGGGUUAUAGACAGGAUAUGAAGGAGGGAGGGAGGCAAGAAGAAGGGGGUGGUUCCCACGCUUCUAGCUCCGGCCGAGUGGAUGGCAACAGCAUUUGGAAGGCGGAGGACAUGGAAUUCAUGUGUCAGGAGCCACCUUCCGAGCCUCCAGUACCACGUGUCAGGGCCACAUGAGCUGGGCCUCGUGGGCCUGAUGUGGUGCUGGGGCCUCAGGGGUCUGCUCUUCUUCUCUUUCAGAAUCUGGGGCUCCAGGCUAUGCCUUGGCUGGACUGAGGUCUGGGGGUGCACUUAUUAUCCCUGGGGACACCUGCUGAAGCUUCUCCCUGACAAGCUGUGUCACUGUUGGAUGAGGAUGGGGCGGGAGGGGUUCAGGGCAGAAGAAGACCGGGAGGGUCUUUCAAAAGAACUCAUGUACGGCUGUUAAAAAAAGUCAGCAGAGGCUCAGGAAGACUUAAAGUGUGCAGAAGGCGGGGAAGGGAGGGCCCAUUGCAUGCACCAAGAGGAAAUUGGAAGGAACAAGCGACGUUGGCUGCUAGGAGAGCCUGCUCCCAACAUCUAGGGGCUGUCCUGACGGGUCACAGUGGGUCGAACUGAGCCAAUGAGAGCAGCUCUGGGGAGACCCACUGGUGCCCUGGAGGCUGGGUGGGUUUGGGUUGGAUGAAUUCUGUGUGUCCUUUUGGAAAUGUGGAGGCCAUGAGGGGGGAUCAGGGCUCUUAGGGUUUUGACCCUUAAGAGUUUUGUAUCUGUAAUUCAAAGGUUCUUUAGUUCUGGGAUGCUGAGAUUCGGGAUAGGGUUCCUAAUGGCACAAAAGCCAGAGAUAAAACAUCCUUCACGUGCUCCCUACCCGGUUCUUUCUGUACCAGACCCACAAGGUCCGAGUUGGGAUCCUAGUGCUCCUGUCUGGUCAGGGCCUAUCUUUAUGUGUUCGUUAAACUUUUAACAAUGAGAAUUAAUUCUGUCUCUUGACAUUGUCAUUUGCAUGCUCCCCACACACAAAUCCUUUCCUGGUGACACCAGGAGCUACAACUCUCCUUGGCCUCCUCUUGUGACUCCCAACUCCCUCCUUGGGAAGCUUGGCCUCAGGACCUCUGGGAUAGACAGGCCACGAAUCCUGCUGUGUCCCGUUGUGUUCCUAAUAUAAAUGGUGUGGAUGGCACUUGACCUAGAGCAGUGGGAAAUGCAUGCACCACUCAACAUUCUGACAUGUCACCCAUUUUACAUUCUUACAGGCAUACUUUUUUUAAAAAAAGAGUGUCUAUUCUUUAAUGAGCAUCCCUUCUUUAAAAAAACCUAAUUGCCAUUAUUCACCACAUACACUUUUUUUUUUUUGUAUCCUGCCUCUUCUAUUUAAUUUUCUGUCAUCAACAUUUUCCCUUGUUCCAUGAAUCUUCAUAACCUCACUUGCUGCGUUGUGCCUUGUUGAGUGGCUAUGGCAUCAUUCACAGAACCAUUCUGUUAUUCUUAUGUAUAACCACCUUUUAAAAAUAUUAUGAAUAAUGCCACAACUAACUGCUUAAAACACCCUUUUUUUCAUUCUUAAGAAUUAUGUUCUUCCACCCAGAAAUUAUCAUUGCUUCACUACAGAUCAGUUUCCCCUGCUAGACUGUGAGCCCCAUAAGGGCAAGGAGCUUAUUGAAUUGGCCUUUGUAUCUCUGAUGCCCAACAUGUUGUAGACUAUAAAUAAAUGAUGAAUGAGUGGAUGGAAGAAUGGAGGAAGGAGCGAGUGAGUGAGUGUUUGGCUGAUGGAUAAGAGGGUGGAAGGAUAGGCGGAAGGAUGGAUUGGUGAAUGAAUGAAUGAAUUUCCUUUGGUUAAGUCUCUUGAAAGAAAGGCUAUGGAUCUUUGUAUGGAUGUUGAAUAAUUUCAGUAAGCUUACAGCAUUUUACAAUGUUCAGCAAUGUAUGACCACUUAAUUAAGAUAUGGCUAGUUUGUCUCUGUUAUAAAGUACUUUUGCAUUACUUUAACUUGCAUUGCUUUAAUUACUAAUGAUGGGUGAACACUUUGACCUAUGUUUGUUAACAAAUUGUAUUUUAUCUUCUGUGAACUGUUUGUCCAAGUCCUUUGGGUCAUGGCUUUCUGAAGAGACUGGUCCCAGAUGUCCUUGGGAUGUAGGGAGCCCAUAGCUCACUGGAGGCAUUCAAGGAACCAGCCAGGCAGCCCUCAGAGAAAGUAGUGUUUAGGAGAUUCUCAUGGUGUGGGGUUGGCCUAGGUGGCCUUUCAGGUCUGUUUGAUGUUAGGAUUUGCUUCUCCCUGGGAAGUGGGUGAUGGGGAAAAAGACACCUUCCAUUGGCAGGUGUAGACACUGCAGGCUGGACCUCCUGGGUGUGCUUGUGGACUCCGAUCUUGCCCUUGAUAAAACCCCUGUGGGACAGGAAUAGCUCUUUGAACCUCCAAGGUCCAGACAGCCACAUCCUAGCACCCUGUACAAUCAGUUAGUGGCCUUCCCACCAGCGCAGUCACUCAUUCCUAUUAGAUCCCGAUGAAGCCAGGCCCUGGGGUUUCCAUUUUCCCACCUCUUAGGGGAAUUGGGUUCCCCGCGUCCUGUGAUAUGUCAGCAAAUGUCCUCAGCCCUGGCCUGCACAUGUGGCCUCAGUGGUGGUCUUUGGGGUUUAACUGACGAAUGGAACAUUUUGGAUCAGGACUGAUGGGAGAAUCUCCUUUCAUUUUUCUUCACCUGGGGCAAUUACAUUCUAAGGAGCGGAAUAAAGGGCAUGUUCUGCCCAAAGCAUCAGGGCUCACAGGUCAGUCACAGCCAUUUAGGGAGGGCAUGUCACCCAAGGAGGGCUCGCCCUUCUUUCCAGAGCAUCCUCCGCUCUCAGCAGAGCUGCUUCUGCCCACCCAUCCCUCUACUAUAGCACUGAGCACUGUUUGCCCGUGUCAGAAUCCCUCACCCACAUGUUUAGCUUGGUAUCCGAGUUUGGGAGGCCGGCAAUGACUUUCAACAUGAAUUGCUCCAUCUACCCAUCCAUGCAUUUGGCCUACUUAUCUUGACCCCGUGCUUUUGGCCUUUUCUUCUCCUGAAAGCAAACCCUUUCAUUUUGGGUGGGCUGUGUAGCGCCAUGGGCUGUGGUUAUGAAGCAAACACCCUUUCUUGUAGCUGCCUCCUCCGGGGUUACUGCCCUGAGCACGUCCCAGCUGGAUCUCGUCUGCCACUGUCACCCAUAGCUUCUUCCCCAUGGUGCUUUCCAUGUGUCACACACCACGACUGUGACCCAGGGUCGGGGUCAAGAGUAGCCUGGGGCCAAGCCCUCCCACCCAUGAGCGGAGAAGUCCUCCCCAGGCCUCACCUUGCCUGGCGCAUGGUCCCUCCCAUGAGCUUUGCUUUCAGCCUUUCAGCUUCCUCCACAGGGUGGCAGUGGUUGUAACUCAUCCAUUCAUCCCUUCAUCCCUUCAUUCAUUCACUCACAGCCAACAGACGUUUUUAAAAAAUUAGCCAGUGCUAUACUAGAGCUGGCUCCCAAGGACCCGCUGCCGCAUUGCCUUUUGAAACAAAACAAUGAACACGUUGGUAAAGGGGCCGUGCUUGUGUGUCGGUGACAAGGCGAGAUCCCUGAGUCAGGUCAGGCUUGUAGAUUCGAGUUCUGUUGCGAGUUUGAUUGCCCCUCUGACUUUGUCCCCUGUACAACUAGGUUGAUUAGGAAUCAGCCAACUGUGUUCCCUGGGUGCUCAGAAAUCACAGCCCAUAUCCUCGAGAGGCCAAAAUGAGAGCCAGGGGGUUCCAAGAUGAGUGGCUGCUUCUGGCCGGGAGCAGGUUUUCAAGUCAUUAGAACACUCUGGCCUUUCCUGGAGGUGAUCUUGGAGCCAUUCCUGCCCCUUUCAAGAGGAGUUAAUGCCCAGCUCUGUUUAGAGAAAAUUGGGGGAGAUGAUUGCUCAUGUGGGUGAUAAGAAUCACCUCCCGUGCAGGGGUCUGCAUAGAACACUCCAUAGGCAAACCUGGGUGUCCAAGGCACGUGGCAUUUUGCAAACUCUGGGUGCAGCUCCGAGCUGUCCUGCAGGUCCCAGACCAGGUGAGAACUCCCUGAGUUCCUGCUGCCUGGGUCGGGGGUGAGGCAUAGGUCUUGGGGGUUCAACCUGGAAUUCUGAAUGUCAUUCAUUGCAUUGGAGAGGAAGGAGAGUAGGCAAAGCCAAGACCCUGGAACUGGACAAACUCGUGUGGUUUAAAGUCACUGUGAGAGCUGGAGUUGAGUCUGCCUACGGGGGAGGACUGCGGCACCUACCUCGCAGGGCUGUUGUGAGGAGCAAUGUAACCGUGAUUUUGAACUGUGAUUCUGGAAGGGCGGUGUGCGUGUCCCCGGGGGUGUGCCAGGGGAGUGAGGAGAAAAGGCCAGGGAGACAGCCUCACUCAGGCAGCUGAGUGGGAGAGCAUUUAUCUCUAAACCUGGAGGGGUAUAUGGUGGGACAGGAGGAAUUUGGGCAGGAACUUUCAUGCUAGGGGUUUGGGGGACUCGCUGGACAAUGCCCCUGGACCCCCCGGGGGUACGCGUUCACGCUCACCUCUGAGAGGCUGGAAACGCCUGGCUGUGCUUUCUGAAUGCUGUGUGCUUCCUGCCUCUGUGCCUGGCCUGUGUGCAGCACCUACUUGUGUCCGCCUUCAAAAGGCCCUUCUGGGUGGCGUCCUUUUCCCCAAAAUAUUAGGCACCAGCCAUCAAAGAUACUGCAUUGUUGCCUCCCCCACCCCUCCCCCCAACUGACAACAUUUGGGCUCAAAUGCAGCAGGCUGGGUGCCCAACACAGUGCCUGGCGAGUGGUAGCGCUUACGUUUCUUUUCUGUUGAAUGGAUGGAUAGCUAAUGAAAUUGUAACCAAUGACAAGCCUUGAUGUUUAUAACCUUUACUAAGAGAUUAUUAUUUUGCUCUUCAUGGACCUGUUAACAACCACCAUAUUGUAUCUUACGGACGUUUGUAUGCCACGUUUGAAGAGCAGGAGCCUUGUUUCGGCGUCAUGUUGAUGGAACUUGAGCUGUCUGAUGCGAAUCUGUGUUUUAUGUUAGAAAGCGCGUAGCCUUAGGAUCUGGCAGACCCAGGGGCCACUUAAUUAACCCUUUGCCUCUUUGACCCUCAAUCUCCUUUUCUCUAAGCCAUAGGUCACCUGAAAGCCUACCUCACAGGGCUGUUGUGAGGGCCGAGGGUGGGUGUGUUUCAACAGUGUGCAGAUGCUGGCUUUCCCUGGGAAUGGGCAUAUGUUGGGAUUUGUCUUGAAAGCAUGAGUGAUGGCUUUACUAGUCCUAAGUGAAUAAAAAGUCAGCCCUGACCUUACGCUGGGAUUGCAUUUCCCACAGUCAGUGGCAUGUGCAGACCACUGGCAGAGCAGCCUGCAGGUGCUUAGCGAUGUGGGCCCAGAGUAAAUAUUUGUUUGAUUGAUGAGUGAUGGCUUUUUCCUUCCUCAGAGUUUGCCCUGCCCCCCAUUCCAACGUGGGCUGCUGCUUCUCCCCAGCGGGUUGUAGCUGGCAGGGCCGUUGUGCUUUGGGGUUUGCUGUACCUGUCGCUGCCGUGAGGGGACGAUCUGUCUGCCCGGAGGGGUUUCUGCAAACAUUCAUGUAUGCCCCUGCUUUCGUUUGUUAGGGAGAAGGAGUGGGGUGACCUAGAGAGAGGAUGAGGAAGGGGUUCUGGGUGGCAUCCUUGGGGUACCAACCCUGCUUCCAUCCUGCGCUCUGAAUUUCCUCACAGCCCUUUUCUGUCUCUGGUAGAAGGUGCAGAAGGUAGGCUUUGCCACCUUCCCUGGGCCUGGCACCAAGCUCGGGGGUCUUGUACACACUUUCCCUUCUCUAACUGGGGUGUGGGCCCAUUUCCUAGAUGAGCUUGCUGAGAAUCAGGACAGCUGGUAUCAGAGCCAGGACUUCCCAGUCUUGCACAAACAACCUGUGCAUUUUUGAGUCCACCAAAUAAGGCCUCCUGCCUGGUCCGGCUCACCCCUGCCAGCCCCCAGCAAAUGCAGCCUGGUGCGUCCCCACCCCUGCCAAGAGCCCAGGAGUGCUCUGGCAGAGAAGUGCAGGGAUGAGGAAGGAGGCUGUGCCCUCCAGGGGACUCAGCUGCGUUAGAGGAGGUGCUGCUGCAGUGGCAGGGGUCUCCAGACAUCCCACGCAGGGGUCCUUUCAGAUCAGGCAUCUCUUCACCAGACCACCGUAUUCCUUUUUCAGCCCUCGUCUCUUGCACGUGGGGGUGCAGUGUUUGGCUCUCACAUCCCCACAUUCCAGCUGGUGGGGGUUUGAGCUGGGUGUUCCUUCUGCUCCCCACUCCCCACUCACGGCCCCCACCCCACGCAAGCCUCCCUUGCCCCCACUCUUUGUCUCCAGCUUUCACAGCCUUGGCGGGCAGGCUGCUGCGCCUGUUGCUGCCCCGGCUCUCUUCCACCCGCCUCUUCUUUCUCAGCCUGAGCUUUACCGUGAGGUCUGGGCGCCACACCUUGGCCCCUGCCAUGCCUGCUCCCAGAAGCACCCACGUGGGUCCCCUGAUUCUCUCCUCCCCUGGGCUUUGCUAAGGAGCCCUUUCAUUGUGGCCUUUGGUGUCUGCCUCAUGCCCAUCCCCUGUUCUUGAGAACUUGGAAGCAGAGGGGGCCCCUCCUAUUGCUCCCAAGAGGCUCCACAGUAGGGAGCCCCUCCCAGGAGAUUCUGAGUCUGUGUUUAGGUGUCGAUUCCUGGGUGGGCCUUGGGGUCCCCUCAGGCCAGGCCUGUGUGUGACCUAAGGCUGGGGGGCUCUGUCAGGCACCUAGUGUCCCUUGGAGGUGGGCGGGGCUGGGUCCUGGUCUCCUGAGGACGGGUGGGGAGACAGGCUCAGGGAGAUUUCCACGAAGCUGCCCUUGAACCCCUCCUCUGAGGCCCACACUGCCCUGGCCCUUUACACCCUGCCUCCUGCACUAGUAGGCACAUAAUAGAUGCUCGCCACCUGUGGAGGGCAGGGUUUAAAUGGCUGGAAAGAGCUGAGUGGGCUGUUUGGCUAGCGUACGCGCAUUUGUUUAAAAGGAAAGGGUGUGUUUCUUGGCAAAGACUCUUCGGAGGAAACGCUGAACUGGGGAUGGGUCUCUACCUGUUCUGGGGCCUCACUGCCCUUCCUGCCGGGGACAGGCAGUCACUGGUGGGUUUCCCCCCAGUGGAAACACAAUAUUUUGGAAAUAUUUGUAUCUAGGAUAAAACUUCAUCUGGACCAACAUGUCUUUGUUGGUGUUGUGGCCCAGGUGAUUUUGAGAAUGUAGAAUACAUUUGGCAAUUUCCAAACGGAGUGAUGACCUGCUCCUCCGCCCCCCAUGCCCUCCCUGAGGCUGGAGGCUUCAGAAGCCCCUGCCUUGGGAGGAGGCUGUUCUACCUGAGAAGUCUUUGUCCCCACCGUUGGUGACAAUCAGCAUUGACCUGUGAGGCACCUGCCAGGUUCGGGACGCAGCUUUAGACAUCCAGAAAACCGGGGGUGGAGGGGUGGGGUGGGGGCUUAAGACCCCAGAGCUUGAUUCCUUUUAACUGUCUCAUCCCCAAAGAAUGGUACAUGGGUACCAGGUAGGUUACUUGAAUCACCCUGAGCCUCGAUUUUCCCACCCGUUAGAAACAGGGUAAUUCAUGACAGUGUCCGCUUGGGAGACGGCUGUGACCCCUGAGAAUUCUCGCUGCAUGCCGUGGGCUGGCUCGUGAGACUCAAGGUCUGGGUUCGAGGCCCCCGCAACCCCUUCUGACUGUGUGGCCUGGGCGAGUUUGUUGUUUGUAACCUGGAAAGCGUCACACCUGCCUGGCACGGUUAUUGUGGGCUUCAAUGAGAUUGUUUGUGUGAAAUAAACGCUUUGUGACUGGCACACAGGCGCUCUCAUCCCGGCUCUCCUGGUGGGCCCGGACCGCUGGGUGCUGGCUGCGGAGGCCCUGUGCUCCCUGGAACUGUCUGCGCUGGUCCCAGGGACUCUUGGGCAGAGUGGAGGGCAAGGGGGAAAGCACCAGCCUGCUCUGGGGAGACAGUGGCAGAGGGAAGUGUUUGCUUUUAAAUACACUCAGCAGGUUCAGACAGGAGAGGAUCCGAGGGGAAAUGUUUAGAGCCCUCAGGAGGAGGAAGAGACCGAGUUUUAGGAAAAACAUCAAAGCUGGAUAGGUUGGGCAGAAGAGCUGGGGAUAGCAUUUAGAGAGGCUGAGAGUCCUGGGUUCUGGGUUAUCAAGGUGAGAGAAACCAGAGGUUGCCAGUUGUAGGUGGGCGUCAGGACUAGAGUGAUGCUUCCAGAAGUUUCUGCAAGUGGGCCGAGUCUAAGGUAGGGCAGGGUACGCCAGAAGUUGAGGGGCACUAGGUAGACAGGCCGAGCUGGUGGCUGGGUGCUCCCCUCACCCUCCAUGCUGCUAGGAGCCCGUGAGCAGGGACUUGCUCUCCUCUCCCUCCCUCCUGGGGCCUGCCUGUCUGUCUGUGAACUCUUGUCGGCCAGCGAGGCCGGGAGCAGGUGGCCUUCAUCUGCAACUGUGUCUCUCUCAGCCUCCACAGCCACGGGGACACCCUGCACCUAUUCCCACGGGACAGGCUGGACCCAGAGACUCUGGACCCGGGGCCUCCCCUUGAGUAGAGACCCGCCCUCUGACUGAUGGACGCCGCUGACCUGGGGUCAGACCCGUGGGCUGGACCCCUGCCCACCCCGCAGGAACCCUGAGGCCUAGGGGAGCUGUUGAGCCUUCAGUGUCUGCAUGUGGGAAGUGGGCUCCUUCACCUACCUCACAGGGCUGUUGUGAGGGGCGCUGUGAUGCGGUUCCAAAGCACAGGGCUUGGCGCACCCCACUGUGCUCUCAAUAAAUGUGUUUCCUGUCUUAACAAAAACUGAUGGAUGUGCUACUAAUA